AAAGCUCCCUUAAAGAGAGCACUCNNGGUAACCCUGUCACGGUUUCCCGCAUUGCAGAGAGUUU
Molecule: ribosomal RNA, 64 nt
Filed under: uncultured archaeon
Lineage: Archaea
Description: partial 16S ribosomal RNA
Source: RNAcentral